This 832-nucleotide long non-coding RNA is filed under the name Homo sapiens (human). RNAcentral's name for it is "HSALNT0097265". Lineage: Eukaryota; Metazoa; Chordata; Mammalia; Primates; Hominidae. The record is from RNAcentral.
AAACUUGAUCUUUACCAGAGGUGAGAAGUUGCUGUUGAAGCCACACUGCUGAUGAGGACUCAGGCAGGUGUCCCGAGAAAUCGCCCAGUCGUGAGAGGAACCAUAAGAACUUUGUAAGGUAAAUACUUUUCUUAACUUUUUAAAAUCUGGGCAAGACACAAGGUCAAUGUUUAAAAUAAUUACUGUUGGAUUUUCUUUAUAAGAAGAAUAACGCUAAUUCACAUUUUUAGCCCGAUUUCUUUAAUUCAUAUUUGGCGAUAGAGCUAUUACCAUUUAUUAGAUUUUGUAUCACAUUCUGUAUAACAUACACAAAAUGCGUAUACAUGUACAUAUAUACGAAUCUACACACGUUUACCACUAAAUACUGAAAAGCGUUAUCGAAAGUCUUUAUCUGCCUAGAUUGCCAAGUAGAAAGUGUGACCACUUUUUGAAAAAUAUGAAUACACUGAAUCAUUGAAAUAUCUUGGUGUCCCAGAGAGUAGAACCAGGAUAGUCUAAAGCGUGCAAAUAUUAAAUUGUGUGAAGCAUUUUGGUUCUAAAUUUCAGUUAAGAGAGAGGCUAUUUCACAGUUGGCCUACUUCCUACAGGAAACCACAGUGAUGUUUUAUUAAGUAAUGGAAUAUAGUUUGUCUCUUCAUUUACCUGUAAGAAAUGUGGCAGGGAGAGACUUGAAACUAGGACUUAAAGAGUGACAAGUACCAGGCAUGAGAAACACAGCUCCCUUAAAGAAAAAGGUCAACGUGGUAAAUAGAUCUCAAAGCAUAACAACUACAAAAGAAUAAUGAGCAUACGAAAAUAAUUUAACUUCAGUUACAUAAAAGAGUGAAAAUUA